Molecule: transfer RNA, 26 nt
Filed under: Tibouchina papyrus
Lineage: Eukaryota; Viridiplantae; Streptophyta; Magnoliopsida; Myrtales; Melastomataceae
Description: partial tRNA-Ser
Source: RNAcentral
CCAUCAACCACUCGGACCAUCUCUCC